UUAAGUUCAGCGGGUAUCCCUACCUGAUCCGAGGUCAACCUGUAAAAAAUGGGGGUUGCUGGCCAGCAUCCGCCUGAGCCCUGUAGCGAGAGAUGUACUACGCUGAGAGCCAGACGCGCCGCCACUGGUUUUAGGGCACACCGGGUGACCGGUGACGCCCAACACAAGCAGAGCUUGAGGGUUGUAAUGACGCUCGAACA
This 200-nucleotide unclassified non-coding RNA is filed under the name Dermea sp. Its description in RNAcentral is "partial internal transcribed spacer 2". Lineage: Eukaryota; Fungi; Ascomycota; Leotiomycetes; Helotiales; Dermateaceae. The record is from RNAcentral.